GAUGAACGCUGGCGGCGUGCCUAAUACAUGCAAGUCGAGCGAACAGACGCGGAGCUUGAUACUCUGACGUUAGCGGCGGACGGGUGAGUAACACGUGGAUAACCUACCUAUAAGACUGGGAUAACUUCGGGAAACCGGCGCUAAUACUGGAUAAUAUAUUGCACCGCAUGGUUCAAUAGUGAAAGACGGUUUUGUUGUCACUUAUAGAUGGAUCUGCGCCGCAUUAGCUAGUUGGUAAGGUAACGGCUUAACAAGGCAACGGUGGUUAGCCGACCUGAGAGGGUGAACGGCCAGACUGGCACAGAGGCACGGUCCAGACUCCUACGGGAGGCAGCAGUAGGGAAUCUUACGCAAGGGACGAAUGCCGGACGGAGCAACGCCGCGUGAAGGAUGAUGGUCUUCUGAUCGGAAAACUCUGUUAGUAGGGAAGAUCAAAUGUGUAAGUAACUAUGCACGUCUUGACGGUACCUAAUCAGAAAGCCACGGCUAACUACGUG
Molecule: ribosomal RNA, 497 nt
Filed under: uncultured bacterium
Lineage: Bacteria
Description: partial 16S ribosomal RNA
Rfam family: Bacterial small subunit ribosomal RNA
Source: RNAcentral